RNAcentral lists this microRNA precursor (71 nucleotides) under Ictidomys tridecemlineatus (thirteen-lined ground squirrel). Its description in RNAcentral is "Spermophilus tridecemlineatus (thirteen-lined ground squirrel) mir-665 microRNA precursor family". It matches the Rfam family "mir-665 microRNA precursor family". The record is from Rfam by way of RNAcentral. Lineage: Eukaryota; Metazoa; Chordata; Mammalia; Rodentia; Sciuridae.
UUGCCUUGAGGGGCCGCUGCCUCUAACCAGGACUUUGCAUGACCAGGAGGCAGAGGCCCCUCAUAGGCGGC